This 433-nucleotide ribosomal RNA is filed under the name uncultured bacterium. RNAcentral describes it as "partial 16S ribosomal RNA". It matches the Rfam family "Bacterial small subunit ribosomal RNA", at positions 29 to 507 of the family's 1533-position model. The record is from RNAcentral.
AACGAACGCUGGCGGCAUGCCUAACACAUGCAAGUCGAACGAGACCUUCUGGUCUAGUGGCGCACGGGUGCGUCACGCGUGGGAACCUGCCCUUAGGUUCGGAAUAACUCCCCGAAAGGGGUGCUAAUACCGGAUAAUGUCUUCGGACCAAAGUUUUAUCGCCUUUGGAUGGACCUGCGUUGGAUUAGCUAGUUGGUAGGGUAAAAGGCUACCAAGGCGAGGAUCCAUAGCUGGUCAGAGAGGUUGAUCAGCCACACUGGGAGUGAGACACAGCCCAGACUCUUACGGGAGGCAGCAGUGGGGAAUAUUGGAAAGUGGGCGGAGGCAUGAUGCAGCAAUGCCGCGAGAGUGAUGAAGGCCGUAGGGUUGGAAAGCGCUUUUACCCGGGAAGGUAAUGACAGUACCGGGAGAAUAAGCUCCGGCUAACUCCGUG